This 774-nucleotide ribosomal RNA is filed under the name uncultured Neocallimastigales. Its description in RNAcentral is "partial large subunit ribosomal RNA". It matches the Rfam family "Eukaryotic large subunit ribosomal RNA", at positions 20 to 645 of the family's 3401-position model. The record is from RNAcentral. Lineage: Eukaryota; Fungi; Neocallimastigomycota; Neocallimastigomycetes; Neocallimastigales.
UACUAGAGUAGCACUCGCAUAUCAAUAAGCGGAGGAAAAGAAACUAACAAGGAUUCCCCUAGUAACGGCGAGUGGAGCGGGAAGAGCUCAAAUUUGAAAUCUUAAAGGGUUUCCCUUUACGAAUUGUAGUUUAAAGAAGUGUUUUCUGUUGAGGUUUUGGUAAAAGUUCUUUGGAAUAGGACAUCAUAGAGGGUGAGAAUCCCGUAUUUGACCUUUACUUUCAACUUUGUGAUACACUUUCAAAGAGUCGGAUUGUUUGGGAAUGCAGUCCAAAAUGGGUGGUAAAUUUCAUCUAAAGCUAAAUAUUGGCGAGAGACCGAUAGCGAACAAGUACCGUGAGGGAAAGAUGAAAAGAACUUUGAAAAGAGAGUUAAACAGUACGUGAAAUUGUCAAAAGGGAAGCGUUUGACACCAGUGUUGUUUUUCUGAAAAUCAAUUAAAGAACUGUUUAUGCUAAGCUGUUUAGACUUUAUCAGCUAUCUGUUUAGUUUUGAGCUUUUCUUUAAUGCACUUUUCAGUUAACAAGUCAACAUCAAUUUCUUUUGCUGUAAAAAAGCUUGAGGAAGGUGGCUUGAGAUUCGUCUUAAGUGUUUAUAGCCUCUUGCCUAUGCAGUCGGAGAGAUUGAGGUCUGCAGCGUAGAUCCUUCGGGGCUAAAUGCAUUUGUGCUAAGUUAUAGCAUUUUAUAGACAACUUGUUGACUAUGAUUUGUCUUGUAGCUUACUCGCUUAUGUUAUUUUACCUACGCUUAGGAUGUUGAUCUCUCACAGUCGAGC